RNAcentral lists this long non-coding RNA (230 nucleotides) under Trifolium pratense (red clover). RNAcentral's name for it is "long non-coding RNA (TPRA_LNC005356)". The record is from RNAcentral. Lineage: Eukaryota; Viridiplantae; Streptophyta; Magnoliopsida; Fabales; Fabaceae.
CGACAAAUUCUUCCUAUUUUCACAUAUAUAUUUUUUGGUAAAAUUUUGAUGGAGAAAGUUACUUUCCAAACAUAAAUAGAAAGGAGAAAAUAGUUUAUUUUAAGUUCACAAGUAAAUGACGUGAAUGAAAUGGGACAUCUUAGUAUUUGGACAGACCAACAUUAACAUACAUGUAUCCCUUAACCAAAAAAAAAAAACAUUAACAUACAAGUACUAAUCACAAUCCAUUU